AACGAACGCUGGCGGCGUGCCUAACACAUGCAAGUCGCGCGAGAACGGGGGGCAACUCCCUAGUAAAGCGGCGCACGGGUGAGUAACACGUAGGUAACCUACCCUCGAGUCCAGGAUAACCUACCGAAAGGUGGGCUAAUACCGGAUAUGACCACGGGAGCCUCGGCUCCUGCGGUGAAAGGUGGCCUCUGCUUGCAAGCCACUGCUCGGAGAUGGGCCUGCGCGCCAUUAGCUAGUUGGUGGGGUAACGGCCCACCAAGGCGAUGAUGGCUAGCUGGUCUGAGAGGAUGGCCAGCCACACUGGGACUGAAACACGGCCCAGACUCCUACGGGAGGCAGCGAGUGGGGGAUAUUGCGCAAUGGGCGAAAGCCUGACGCAGCGACGCCGCGUGGG
Molecule: ribosomal RNA, 394 nt
Filed under: uncultured bacterium
Lineage: Bacteria
Description: bacterial SSU rRNA
Rfam family: Bacterial small subunit ribosomal RNA
Source: RNAcentral